AGAGUUUGAUCCUGGCUCAGGAUGAACGCUGGCGGCGUGCCUAAUACAUGCAAGUCGAGCGAACGUCAUAGAAGCUUGCUUCUAUGACAUUAGCGGCGGACGGGUGAGUAACACGUGGGCAACCUGCCUGUAAGACUGGGAUAACUUCGGGAAACCGAAGCUAAUACCGGAUAGGAUCUUCUCCUUCAUGGGAGAUGAUUGAAAGAUGGUUUCGGCUAUCACUUACAGAUGGGCCCGCGGUGCAUUAGCUAGUUGGUGAGGUAACGGCUCACCAAGGCAACGAUGCAUAGCCGACCUGAGAGGGUGAUCGGCCACACUGGGACUGAGACACGGCCCAGACUCCUACGGGAGGCAGCAGUAGGGAAUCUUCCGCAAUGGACGAAAGUCUGACGGAGCAACGCCGCGUGAGUGAUGAAGGCUUUCGGGUCGUAAAACUCUGUUGUUAGGGAAGAACAAGUACGAGAGUAACUGCUCGUACCUUGACGGUACCUAACCAGAAAGCCACGGCUAACUACGUGCCAGCAGCCGCGGUAAUACGUAGGUGGCAAGCGUUAUCCGGAAUUAUUGGGCGUAAAGCGCGCGCAGGCGGUUUCUUAAGUCUGAUGUGAAAGCCCACGGCUCAACCCGUGGAGGG
This 634-nucleotide ribosomal RNA is filed under the name uncultured marine bacterium. RNAcentral describes it as "bacterial SSU rRNA". It matches the Rfam family "Bacterial small subunit ribosomal RNA", at positions 8 to 622 of the family's 1533-position model. The record is from RNAcentral.